AGGACGAACGCUGGCGGCGUGCUUAACACAUGCAAGUCGAACGAGGUCCAUCCAGUGGUAACACUGGAGAAGACCGAGUGGCGAACGGGUGAGUAACACGUGAGCAACCUGCCCCGAAGACUGGGAUAACAGCGGGAAACCGCUGCUAAUACUGGAUGCCCCCACCGGGCCGCAUGACCUGGUGAGGAAAUGGACUCCGCUUCGGGAGGGACUCGCGGCCUAUCAGUUUGUUGGUGGGGUAACGGCCUACCAAGACGACGACGGGUAGCUGGUCUGAGAGGACGAUCAGCCACACUGGGACUGAGACACGGCCCAGACUCCUACGGGAGGCAGCAGUGGGGAAUCUUGCGCAAUGGGCGAAAGCCUGACGCAGCAACGCCGCGUGAGGGAUGAAGGUCUUCGGGUUGUAAACCUCUUUCAGCAGGGACGAUUGUGACGGUACCUGCAGAAGAAGCCCCGGCAACUACGUGCCAGCAGCCGCGGU
This 484-nucleotide ribosomal RNA is filed under the name uncultured bacterium. Its description in RNAcentral is "SSU rRNA". It matches the Rfam family "Bacterial small subunit ribosomal RNA", at positions 26 to 521 of the family's 1533-position model. The record is from RNAcentral.